RNAcentral lists this long non-coding RNA (278 nucleotides) under Homo sapiens (human). Its description in RNAcentral is "non-protein coding lnc-CYP4F2-1:1". Lineage: Eukaryota; Metazoa; Chordata; Mammalia; Primates; Hominidae. The record is from RNAcentral.
AGAGCAGAGUGAGCUGCGGUCAUGAUUGAAGGCAGGGAUGCUAGCAGCAAGGACCCCAAAGAAUUAUCAGCAUUGGGGCCCAAACUUCCCCCCAGGCUGGGGGAAACUGCCGGGCGCGGUGGCGGGCGCCUGUAGUCCCAGCUACUCGGGAGGCUGAGGCAGGAGAAUGGCGUGAACCCAGGAGGCAAAGCUUGCAGAGAGCGGAGAUUGCGCCACUGCACUCCAACCUGGGCGACAGAGCAAGAUUCCGUCUCGGAAAAAAAAAAAAAAAACAAAAA